This 557-nucleotide ribosomal RNA is filed under the name uncultured bacterium. RNAcentral describes it as "bacterial SSU rRNA". It matches the Rfam family "Bacterial small subunit ribosomal RNA", at positions 102 to 694 of the family's 1533-position model. The record is from RNAcentral.
ACAGGUGAGUAACGCGUGGGAACAUACCCUUUUCUACGGAAUAGCUCUGGGAAACUGGAAUUAAUACCGUAUACGCCCUACGGGGGAAAGAUUUAUCGGGGAAGGAUUGGCCCGCGUUGGAUUAGCUAGUUGGUGGGGUAAAGGCCUACCAAGGCGACGAUCCAUAGCUGGUCUGAGAGGAUGAUCAGCCACAUUGGGACUGAGACACGGCCCAAACUCCUACGGGAGGCAGCAGUGGGGAAUAUUGGACAAUGGGCGCAAGCCUGAUCCAGCCAUGCCGCGUGAGUGAUGAAGGCCUUAGGGUUGUAAAGCUCUUUCACCGAUGAAGAUAAUGACGGUAGUCGGAGAAGAAGCCCCGGCUAACUUCGUGCCAGCAGCCGCGGUAAUACGAAGGGGGCUAGCGUUGUUCGGAAUUACUGGGCGUAAAGCGCACGUAGGCGGAUAUUUAAGUCAGGGGUGAAAUCCCAGAGCUCAACUCUGGAACUGCCUUUGAUACUGGGUAUCUUGAGUAUGGAAGAGGUAAGUGGAAUUGCGAGUGUAGAGGUGAAAUUCGUAGA